GCUCUUGGGGAGACUCGAACUCACAACCUCUCGGUUGGAAGUGUGGGUUGCUUACCAUCAUAUCACUUCACAAACUAUUGACAUAUAUUUUUAUUAUCUAGAAUGAUCAUAUUUGCAAAUUGUUACAAAGUUUUAAGAUGAAAAUGCACUAAAUUGGUAUAAUAUAUUGGAUCUAAAGUCAUUCAAUUCACUAGAAAACUCGUGAAAUCGUGACUUUGGACCUUAAAUAGCAACAGAAGAACGAAAGGCCAGCGGAAUUCUGUCAAAUACAUGGUCAUUAUGGACGAGAAAAUGGGUAUGGUCAUUGCACAGUUACUCCAUGAGUAGAUGUGAAUAUCUGACAGUUAUAUGCAAGAAAUUGUGUUUAAUCCAGCACAAGCUGCCCCACUCUUGAGCUAGUCAAUUUUCCGGCACUUCUUCCACACCCUGGAUAACUUAUACCCAAGCUUCAU
RNAcentral lists this long non-coding RNA (452 nucleotides) under Nicotiana benthamiana. RNAcentral's name for it is "long non-coding RNA (NBEN_LNC002257)". Lineage: Eukaryota; Viridiplantae; Streptophyta; Magnoliopsida; Solanales; Solanaceae. The record is from RNAcentral.